AAACCCAGCCCACUCCUUCAAGCCCACCCAUCUGUCCCUGCACGCUGGAAAUCAAAUCCUUACCUUUGCGCACAGCAGGCGAGACAAAGCGCUGCUAAAGCAGAGACAAAUGCACUCAAUCUGUCUGCCUGAAAUCUCCACAUUUCCACAAACACGAUGGAGGAAAAAAAUGUUUGGAGGGAAGGGAAAGAUCUUCUGAAAUCCCCCUCCAAAAAAAAAAAAAAAAAGAAUGACAGAAGGAAAGAAGACAACAAAUAAUUUCCUUUAUUUUUAAAAAAAGCACAAAACAGUAAAAAAAAAAUGGGGGAAAUAUAUAUUCCCCCUCCCUUCAGUGCCAGUCAAAGAAUUCACCUCUUCUUCCUUUCAGCAUCCUCUCAACAAGAGACAUCCUCUGGCAAUGGAGAAAAUCCCAAGAGAGAAAAAUGAAGUGUCCCCAAAAUGGACUCAGCAAAAUGUGGAAUCAAAUCUCACAGGGUGCCAUCGUUACAUUGUGACAGGAGCUGCCUCUCCCCAUCGUGAUGCUGAGUCAGCUGCAGCGUGAUGCAGACUUAUGACGGUACGGUGCAGAGGUAUCGCCUCGCUUGCUAUUCCUUAUACUCUAGAAGAACCCCUCCAUCAAAAUCUGUAAAGCCAUCUGAUAUCCUGUCUUCAAUCUCCC
This 658-nucleotide long non-coding RNA is filed under the name Gopherus agassizii (Agassiz's desert tortoise). RNAcentral's name for it is "lncRNA (ENSGAGG00000001023.1)". Lineage: Eukaryota; Metazoa; Chordata; Testudines; Testudinidae. The record is from RNAcentral.